This 110-nucleotide transfer RNA is filed under the name Saprospiraceae bacterium. RNAcentral describes it as "tRNA-OTHER". RNAcentral also lists the same sequence under 1 other name. The record is from RNAcentral. Lineage: Bacteria; Pseudomonadati; Bacteroidota; Saprospiria; Saprospirales; Saprospiraceae.
GGUUCCAUAGCUCAGAUGGAUAGAGCAUCCCGAUCUUCAAAUCAGUAAGGUCAUAGGUUCCCUGCCUGCCUAAGACGGCAGUCGGGCAGGGAAUCCUAUUGGGACUACCA